RNAcentral lists this small nuclear RNA (103 nucleotides) under Neotoma lepida (desert woodrat). The record is from RNAcentral. Lineage: Eukaryota; Metazoa; Chordata; Mammalia; Rodentia; Cricetidae.
GCUCCCUUCAGCAGCAUACACUAAAAUUGGAACGAUACAGUGUAGACUAGCAUGGUCCCUGCACAAGCAUGACACACAAAUUCAUGUAGCGUUCCAUAUUUUU